GACGAACGCUGGCGGCGUGCUUAACACAUGCAAGUCGAACGGAAAGGCCUGCUUUCCCUUGUGGAUUGCGGGUACUCGAGUGGCGAACGGGUGAGUAACACGUGAGUGAUCUGCCCCCAACUUGGGUAUAAGCCUGGGAAACUGGGUCUAAUUCCCGAUAGGACUGCAGGGUGGUGCCUGUGGUGGAAAACGAUUUUCUAGUGGUUGGGGAUGAGCUCGCGGCCUAUCAGCUUGUUGGUGGGGUAAUGGCCUACCAAGGCGGCGACGGGUAGCCGGCCUGAGAGGGUGGACGGCCACAUUGGGACUGACAUACGGCCCAGACUCCUACGGGAGGCAGCAGUGGGGAAUAUUGCACAAUGGGCGGAAGCCUGAUGCAGCGACGCCGCGUGGGGGAUGACGGCCUUCGGGUUGUAAACUCCUUUCGACCGCGAGGAAGCCACCUGGUUGGAAGGGUGGUGACGGUAGUGGUAGAAGAAGCACCGGCUAACUACGUG
Molecule: ribosomal RNA, 494 nt
Filed under: uncultured bacterium
Lineage: Bacteria
Description: partial 16S ribosomal RNA
Rfam family: Bacterial small subunit ribosomal RNA
Source: RNAcentral